GGAGUUUGGGCCGUGUCUCAGUCCCAAUGUGGCCGGUCACCCUCUCAGGUCGGCUACUGAUCGUCGCCUUGGUGGGCCGUUACCUCACCAACUAGCUAAUCAGACGCGGGCCCAUCUCAUUCUGCCGGAGCUUUUCACACUGUUCCAUGCGGAACCGUGCGCUUAUGCGGUAUUAGCAGUCGUUUCCAACUGUUGUCCCCCUGUACAAGGUAGGUUACCCACGCGUUACUCACCCGUCCGCCACUCAGUCAACAAAUCGUCACCCCGAAGGGAUCGUGAUAAGUUGCUUCGUUCGACUUGCAUGUGUUAAGCACGCCGCCAGCGUUCAUC
This 330-nucleotide ribosomal RNA is filed under the name uncultured Pseudobutyrivibrio sp. RNAcentral's name for it is "partial 16S ribosomal RNA". The record is from RNAcentral. Lineage: Bacteria; Bacillati; Bacillota; Clostridia; Lachnospirales; Lachnospiraceae.